CUGAUCCCCCAACAAACUCUAACUGAUCCGCCUCAAAAUUCCACCACCUUCCUCUGGCGGCGCCACCGUGAACCGCUACCAAACUUACACCAAAUACCUUCCUCCAUCUCCAUAUCCCAAAUCCGCACCCCUCUUCCCCCAAAUCGAAUCCCAACUAUUCAAAUCUCGAAUCGAAGUUUCAAACCCUAGCCGCCGCCCUAGAAUUCCCAACCCCCUGCAUGGCGGCGCCGGCUCCGAUCCUCACCAAAAUUACACCCCGGGACCUUCACGAACCCCUCUUCCCAAAUCCCAUAUCAGUUUCCCUCGAACACCCUUGAAUCCUCUCGGAUCUGGAUUUGAAGACGAACCCUAGAAAUUCCAAAAUCCUAAAUCGAGUGUUCGUUGAAUUUUUCCGGUCUAAAUUGAUUUUAUUCGUGUGUUCUUGUUAAGAACACACGAUUAAUUUCAAAAUCGGCCAGAAAUCAGAUGAUUUGAAGACCCAGGCUCCCUCUUUCAUUUCCCGAACCUUUUCGUGGGUACUUAUUCUAAGACUUGCAGAAUGUGAAUCCAAAUUUGAUGAAUGAAAUGGUUAGGGAACUUUGAAGCCGUGCAUUAAAUUUGUUCACUUUUAUAGCUUAGCUGUAUUUCUAUUUUGUUCAUAAAAUGUCACUCAUGUCUUUUGGAAAUCAUCAGAAUUUGUGGAGUAGUCUGAUCUCCCCUUUAUCAUGUUCACUCUUAAUUGUUUAGCUGUAAACAUGCUCUGUAGUACUGGGUGGAUCAUUGACUCUGCCUCUUGAAUAAGUUCGAAUUCGUGUUAAUAAGGCUUUAAGUUUGUAAUUGCUAAUUUCAGUUAGUUUGUUAAGGGCUUUGGUUAGUUUUUGGCUGAGAGUUACUGGGAUUCACUAAUGUAGAUGUACAUUUGAGUUCACUGGGAAAUGACAAAUGGUUAGUUGGGUUUUA
Molecule: non-coding RNA, 939 nt
Organism: Nicotiana tabacum (common tobacco)
Lineage: Eukaryota; Viridiplantae; Streptophyta; Magnoliopsida; Solanales; Solanaceae
Source: RefSeq, a predicted model, not a curated record